Molecule: non-coding RNA, 101 nt
Organism: Acanthosepion pharaonis
Lineage: Eukaryota; Metazoa; Mollusca; Cephalopoda; Sepiida; Sepiidae
Source: the annotation of a GenBank genome assembly
AUAUUAAAACACUAGUUCCUGUACAAUCACAGAAGUUAAGCAACAUUGAGCCGGGUCAGUACAUAGAUGGGUGACUGCCUGGAAAUACCACGUGCUGUAAG